UCUAUAGAAAAUCAUCCAAAGAGCACCAUGUCAUGGGACCUUUAAAGAAAUGCCAAUAAACCAGACCACGUUUUUCUCCCAUCCUGGAAUGCUGGGUGGACUAGCCAGACUCUCCCCCGCAGCGCCGUGGAGGAGGGUCUGGCAAAGAGACUACGUAAACAUUAACGUCUCCCUGUGCUAAGCAAUUCCAGUCUUGGCAGCAUGGCUAACUUAGCCAACCAGCUGAUGGCAGCUAUAGCUAGCAGCAGUUAGCGCUUGGCCUUAGCACGAACUAUUAACCACUUUAGCAACAAGUAAAGCUUUCUGUUAAUCUGAAAAGUCUGUAAAUCACUGAGAGCCAAAUGUACUGAC
Molecule: long non-coding RNA, 351 nt
Organism: Etheostoma spectabile (orangethroat darter)
Lineage: Eukaryota; Metazoa; Chordata; Actinopteri; Perciformes; Percidae
Exons: 3
Source: RefSeq, a predicted model, not a curated record